This 467-nucleotide ribosomal RNA is filed under the name Acanthamoeba genotype T4. RNAcentral describes it as "SSU rRNA". It matches the Rfam family "Eukaryotic small subunit ribosomal RNA", at positions 739 to 1094 of the family's 1831-position model. Lineage: Eukaryota; Discosea; Longamoebia; Acanthamoebidae. The record is from RNAcentral.
UGGCCCAGAUCGUUUACCGUGAAAAAAUUAGAGUGUUCAAAGCAGGCAGAUCCAAUUUUCUGCCACCGAAUACAUUAGCAUGGGAUAAUGGAAUAGGACCCUGUCCUCCUAUUUUCAGUUGGUUUUGGCAGCGCGAGGACUAGGGUAAUGAUUAAUAGGGAUAGUUGGGGGCAUUAAUAUUUAAUUGUCAGAGGUGAAAUUCUUGGAUUUAUGAAAGAUUAACUUCUGCGAAAGCAUCUGCCAAGGAUGUUUUCAUUAAUCAAGAACGAAAGUUAGGGGAUCGAAGACGAUCAGAUACCGUCGUAGUCUUAACCAUAAACGAUGCCGACCAGCGAUUAGGAGACGUUGAAUACAAAACACCACCAUCGGCGCGGUCGUCCUUGGCGUCUCGGUCCUUCACGGGGCCGGGGCGCGGGGGCGGCUUAGCCCGGUGGCACCGGUGAAUGACUCCCCUAGCAGCUUGUGAG